Molecule: long non-coding RNA, 1297 nt
Filed under: Cricetulus griseus (Chinese hamster)
Lineage: Eukaryota; Metazoa; Chordata; Mammalia; Rodentia; Cricetidae
Description: lncRNA (ENSCGRG00015040909.1)
Source: RNAcentral
CUGCAUGCUAGUCCCUAAUGAAUGAGACAUACACAGAGAGUCAUUAGUCUUAUCUUCAUGAACAAACUUAAGAAACACUGAGGGCACAUUGCAAACAAUGGUAGUCUCAGACAGCCAUGUCUUGUCAUCACUUUCUGGCUUUAUUUAAAUGACUGCUCAAAGAACACUGGCAGUUAUUCUUCAUGAACAAUUCAAUUGAGGCAUGCAAACUUUUGAACUCAGGUUCUGCCUCUGAACUUUUCUAGACAGUCACUUCAAUCUGUGCCCUUACUCUGUUGAUCCUCAGUUACAUAUUUUGUUAUGAGUAUGAUGAGCAAAGGUAUCAUGGGGGAUAUUUAAUGAGAUCAAAAUACAAUUACAUGACAUACAAGAGAGCCCCAACAUGGUCUCUGUUAGUGAGAAGAAUUUAGUGCCUUUUUCUAGUUUCCCUGAAUCCUAUACCAGCUUCAGAUCAUUUAGCCUAGUAAUUCAUUAACUCAUUUCCUUUGGGUUGGCAUGUAGUCAAGGCAGCAUUCAGGUUUUCCUAGAUCAGCCUGUCUCAGGCACACAUCCUCGGGACUAUCACCGAACGUCUUAAAGGAGAGAAUUUCUGCCCCACAAACUUCUUGAGAAAUGUGUCUUUCACAAAUACACUGGGCCCAGAUUUAAAUUCCCUGAAGACAAAAGAUACAAUGUGGGUGUUAACCUGUGGUUAGCUAGGCCCCAGCAUUGCUAGAAAUGGAAAAUUACCCACAAAGAGGUGAAGGAGGGGGAGUGACUUUCAAAGAGGUCUAGCUAAUAUGACAAAUGGUCCAUCACACACUCUCCUCUCCUGGUUGUUUUGAUACAUCCCCACCUGGUCCCCAGGUGUGUAAGAACCACAGACUCCCAUUCAUGCCGCUGCUGUGGACCAGGCUCAUUCUGGGCUGCACACCCUGGAACAAUGGCUUUAUUCUUUCAGGAGUCCAAAGAGAGCUAAAGUGUGUAGAGAGCUGCUGCGGCUCCCGGUCCAUCUGAAAAAUCAGAAAAUAAUAAGAAAUUCCACACAGAGAAGAUGAAAGCCCAGCCACUCCCAGUUGUUCCUGCAACCUAUACCAGAAGUGUGCAGUUAACAUGAAGUUUCCUUUUCUGGAAGAUGAAACAGUCCCAUAUUGCCUCAUGAGCACGUUUCAGGUGCAUAAGUGAGAUGCCAAAGAGAAGACUCGAACUUCCCAGUCAACAGAGAGGAAGGUGAUGGGGGUUCCGCUGGGACAUGAGAACAAGGACUCUGCUCAAGCUGUGGUGCAAGGCAGACUCCAAAGAAGAAAAUACCAGGAAC